UUUGUAAACAAAAGCUAUUUCCAUAUUUUAGGUGCYUUCGAAAGAAUUGCUGGCAUUAAUGCCGAUAUAAUCGAAGAUGUGGGAUGUACCUAAGAAUGUCUCAACUUAUUACUACUGAUGGGCUUUUGCAUUACUAAAGAGGGAUGCAGGUGUGACAUGUUAAGAAUUACAUUACUUGCAAUGACAGGACAUAUCAARCAGGGCGACUAGGAAAUGUCAAAAGGAAGGCUCCAUGAAACAAUGAAACAUCUCUUGUACACUUGUAUCGCAUUAUCAAAACAACGGUUUAAUCAUUUGGAGGCACAAAGGUAUCAGCCUCUGACAGAUGUAGCGUUGGUGAGGUCACAGAAUCUGUUAAAACUCACUUGAGGUGCUSGUAUUCUCAAUGAUGACUACUCAUCAUGGACUACGCUACUGCAACCCAUUCCUAUAAUCAGAGGUCCUUUUAAUUGGAUUGCUGAUGAGAGGAGGGCRUACAUUUGGAACACUAACACUAACCACUAAAACAAUUAAUUUUGUAGCGUCUUUGAAAUUUUUUUUWGAAAAAAAUAUACAGAUGUACACAA
Bactrocera latifrons is the source of this 566-nucleotide long non-coding RNA. RefSeq lists it as uncharacterized. Lineage: Eukaryota; Metazoa; Arthropoda; Insecta; Diptera; Tephritidae. The record is from RefSeq and is a predicted model, not a curated record. The transcript is spliced from 2 exons.